GGGGAAUUUUCCGCAAUGGGCGAAAGCCUGACGGAGCAAUACCGCGUGAGGGAGGAAGGUCUGUGGAUUGUAAACCUCUUUUGAUAGGGAAGAACACAAUGACGGUACCUAUCGAAUCAGCAUCGGCUAACUCCGUGCCAGCAGCCGCGGUAAUACGGAGGAUGCAAGCGUUAUCCGGAAUUAUUGGGCGUAAAGCGUCCGUAGGUGGUUAAUCAAGUCUAUUGUCAAAGCCUGGGGCUUAACCCUGGAGAGGCGGUGGAAACUGGUUAACUUGAGUGCGGUAGGGGCAGAGGGAAUUCCCAGUGUAGCGGUGAAAUGCGUAGAUAUUGGGAAGAACACCGGUGGCGAAAGCGCUCUGCUGGGCCUGCACUGACACUGAGGGACGAAAGCUAGGGGAGCGAAA
Molecule: ribosomal RNA, 403 nt
Filed under: uncultured bacterium
Lineage: Bacteria
Description: bacterial SSU rRNA
Rfam family: Bacterial small subunit ribosomal RNA
Source: RNAcentral